RNAcentral lists this long non-coding RNA (412 nucleotides) under Capsella rubella. Its description in RNAcentral is "long non-coding RNA (CRUB_LNC002915)". Lineage: Eukaryota; Viridiplantae; Streptophyta; Magnoliopsida; Brassicales; Brassicaceae. The record is from RNAcentral.
UUUUAUUAUAUUAUUAAUAAGAAAAAGAGAGAUUAGGAAAGGGAGGUAAGUGGUAAUAAUGUGAUUAGCAGCGGGGGCGGAGGAGCCAGUAAUGCAGCCGAGGUUCGCGGUUACUCCUUGACCUUCAAAACUGACAUUUCCUACUCACUCACACGUGCGAGGACAGUCCCCUACUCACUUGUUUUUUUUUGUUUUUUUAUUCUUUGUCCGUAUAAAAUAAAUCGUGAAUACAACUGUUUUACUCAAAAAAAAAAAAAAUACAGUAACUUAUUUGUGGAAUCUACUAGUAGUAACUGUUAACCAAGAAAACAAUAAAUGUUAUAAAGAUGACAAAAAUAGUACUCAUUACAAGAGCUAAUUAAAAUAAAAAAAUAAAAAAACUCUCAAAAUUAAUCGAAAAGAAAAGGCAGGG